GAAUCAUGCAAAACCUAAAUGUCACAUGAUUUCAAAGAUGAGUAUUUUUUUAGAGGCAACUAUCGCCUGAAAUAAUUUGACAGGCAUGCAUGCCUUGAUUAUAGUAUACAGCUAUAGAUGAAGAAAUAACGACAGAAAAUAGUUCAAGGCACCUGUAAAUAGCCAGCCUACGUCAUAUCAUUCUUGGUUAAAAGAUUUCAAGAUUCCAUCCAGUGUAAAUGUGGCCAGCUUGUGACUAAUGCUGCUAACCAUCGCUAAGGCAUAAUAUUAGAGCAGGGCCGUUCAGAGAAAUUAAGAACAUUGAGCACAAUUAAAUUUGAGGUGCCCUUCUUUGUGACCCGACAUAUAUUACAAUUUUCUAUUUAUUGGUAUUUAAAUUUAAAGGUCCGAUCAAUACGCCCCAUUAUCACCUCCCUGCCCCUUUCCCCAUAGCGGUCAUGUAUUAGAGAACUUUUUGUCAUUACAAACGCUUUUGGUAUCACUCAGCUAUGUAUAUUUUAUAUAAUAUAAGCUGUUUAUUAACGUUGAACAUA
Xenia sp. Carnegie-2017 is the source of this 533-nucleotide long non-coding RNA. RefSeq lists it as uncharacterized. The record is from RefSeq and is a predicted model, not a curated record. The transcript has 2 exons. NCBI's taxonomy places the organism in Eukaryota, Metazoa, Cnidaria, Anthozoa, Malacalcyonacea, Xeniidae.